GACAUCCAGCCGUAGCUCGGCCGGGCACACCGUGCGGGAGGGCUGCGGGGAGCGCCCCGGCCCCGCACAGCUGUUGGCUACGCUCUGCGGCCCGGGAAAGUCCCGGGGCGGCGGGGGCUGCCGGUGGGGACUUCGUGGCGGGAGCGUAAGCCCGGUGACUGCAGGAUGGGCGGCCCCUGCGGCCCCUUCCUGGGCGGAAACGGGUCGAGGCGUUAAUAUCGGCUGCCCGCCCCGCGCGGCUCGGUUCGACUCGGGACGGGACGGGCGGCGCGGCGCGGGUCGGAUCGGAUCGGAUGGGCGCGGCUCGGGCCAUGGGGCGGCUCGGGCUGCUGGGACUCCUCUGCGCGCUGCUCCUGGGCUGUGGGCAGCCUGGUGAUGCUGUGAAUUGCUCUGACAAGCAGUAUGAGCACAAGGGCAGAUGCUGCAACCGAUGCCAGCCAGGGAAGAAGCUGGCCUCUGAAUGCAACGACACAGAAGACUCUGUCUGCACACCCUGUGAGAAUGGUCAGUACCAGCAGAGCUGGACAAAGGAAAGGCACUGCACGCCCCAUGAAAUCUGUGAGGACAACGCUGGCCUCAUUGUGAAGAGACAUGGAAACGCAACGCACAACACUGUGUGCCAGUGCCGGGCCGGCAUGCACUGCUCUGAUGCCAGCUGCCAGACCUGCGUGGAGAACGAGCCCUGCAAGCAGGGCUUUGGCUUUGUGGCAGCCAUGGCUGAAGCCCGGAUGACCUCACCGUGUGAGCCCUGUGCAGAAGGCACCUUCUCCAAUGUAUCUUCCAAAACUGAGCCAUGCCACUUCUGGACAAGCUGUGAGGAAAAGGGGCUCGUGGUGAAGGUGAAAGGGACGAACACUUCCGAUGUGAUCUGUGAGUCAAGCCGGCGCUCAUCGCUGUCAGUGCUGAUCCCCAUCACAGCUGCAGUUGUCACCUGCCUGGUGGGCAUCUGCAUCUACUGCCUGGUGCACACAGACCUCAGGCGCCGUGGGCCAAAGCAGGCUGAGGCCGAGGCGCCCAGAGAGCUGGUGACGCAGCAGCCCGAGGAGGUGGACUUCCCGGUGCAGGAGACCCUGCUGGGAGGGCAGCCCGUGGCGCAGGAGGACGGCAAGGAGAGCCGCAUCGCCGAGCAGGAGCAGCUGUGAGAGUGCGGGAGCUGCCUCCGACGGGAGCAGCGGGCAGAGCCGGCACUGACCCCCCUGCAAUCGGGGCGGGAGGAGCCGAUCCGAAGCGCAGCUCUGCCCGGAGGACCCUCGGGGGGACCGUGCGGCUCGGUGUCAGGGCAUGGCAGUACCGGCCCGGCGCGGACGGGACGCGUGGGAGCCGACAAACCGACCCGUCCCGGUCCCCGACCCACGCGUGUCCGCAGCGCCGCUCUGCGCCAGGCGGUGCGCGGCCGUUCCGGCGCCAGGAGGGGGCGCUGCGGGGCCGCCGGCGGCGCGGAGCGGGCGGAGCGCUCCCGCACAGCCCCGCGUGGGCGGCUGAGGGGUCACGGCCCGGGCCCGGCGCCCUGCGGGGAUCCCGCGCCCGGUUCUGCGUGGCGAGCGCGACGCGAAGGCUCUGCCGGGGGCGACCCGGCUCAGCACCGCUCCCCUCGGCCGCCCCCGGCCCCGCCCGGGCCCGCGCCGUCGCCCCCGCAGCGCCCCGUACCGCGUGCGGCCCCCACCGCCCGGCCCGAGCUGCGGCGCUGCCGGCUGCUGACAUUUCCGCGGUUAUUGCUCCGCUCCGAGCUCUGCCAUCGCCGUUACAAUGGGAACAAUUACACUCAAUUAUUCUCCACCACACCGUUGACAAAAAAAGAUGGCAUUUAAACUUUAAUUAUUCUCUCGGUGUGCGUGAGCAGCAUGGCCCGCAGCCCGGGCAGCCCCUCAGCACUGCUCCGUCUGCACCGAGCGGUGACCCCGGGAUCGUGCUGCCACCGGGGAGGGAUGGGAGGAGCCCAGCACCCACCCCGAGCCCGGCGGGGGCUGCAGGGAGCGGUCGGAGCCCAGCACCCACCACCCGCACACGUGCAGCGUGGCAUCACGGAGGCAGUAAAUCCCAGAGCCCGGAGCAGCUGCAACUCGGAGCAGCUUUUUCCAUAAAGGCAGAGGCACGUUAUUUAAGGCUGCUCUUAAAACCUAAUGUUAGGUUUAAUAAGGGAGAUAAAAGCGUGCCAGAGGCUGUCCUGCGCGGGGCUGCGCGCUGCCGGCUGUGCAGGUGGAUGGGCCCUGCGUCCUGCUGGCACGGCCACACCAACACCCACCCCGGCGAUGCGGUGACCCCACUCCCGCUGGCACUGCCAGCAGAGGGCUGGCAUCGUGUGGGCACAGAGCCCUCGGACCCAAACACGGGGCUUUUGGCCCCAAGCAGCCUCCCCCGCUGUGCCCCUCCCCCUCACCCCCCCCCCCCCAUGCUGACCUCUCCCCACCUGCCCCCGCACGCAGGGCGUGUGCCAUCUCAUUAGUGUGUCUGUCCCCCAAAGUGAGAAGGGAGAGAGCGUGAGACCUAAUUGAAUGUAACUAAUUAUUCACUCUGCAAAUGCUGUUUAAAUGGGAUUGUGAGGGACAAAAUUACUCAUUCUGAAAAGGGGAGAGAAAGAGAGAAAGACAGAGAGAAAACAAAUAGAGGCGGGUGCUGGAGCUGCAGCUCCCUCUCUCCCCAGAAUACCAAUUACCGGAUGAAGUGAUUGUAUAAAUCUUUACCGAGUGAACGAACUGUAGUAGUCACUUACUUCUGUCCUCUUAUUACACGGAAGCAAUGAAAAAUCGUCCCUCUCUGCAGUCCAGUUAAGGGCUCCCAAGCGCUGUGCGAUGCUCUCUGCACGGCUGCGCAGCUCGGCCCCGGCGUGCGUCGGGGUGAUGACCCUACAGACGUGGGGCCAAGCACUUGGCACUGGGCUGGGCCCACUGCUCACGGCCCACACGGGUGCAGCAUUGGCAUGCACAGGGCUGGGGGAUCCCAGACCCCGUAUGGCACACGCAGUGGCCUGGUUCCACUCAAGGUGCUGUGGGUGGGCUGUGGUCACAGCAGUGCUGUGCCACCAGCAGCCCAAGCCCCCCAAGCCCUCCAUCCCCGGGCCCACAUGGCUCAGAUACAUGUUGAGGAUGCACUGGAGGAGUUGAGCUGUUGGGUCUCUCCAAGCAGCCCCGUGGCCAGACAGUGGAGGGGUGGAGGGCUGAGGGAACCCGCAGGCUGUCUUGCCUUGUGCUGGAUGGCAUCUGGCUGCUGCCGGCAGCAAGCUCCCAUGCACUGCGUGGGUGUGAGGGAGUGAUAACAUCAUCAUCAUCAUAACAAAUGCAGCUGUGCAGCUCCAUUCUGUGCUUAUUGGCUUUCUUCUGUUUAUCUAUAAAUAAUUGUGGGGACACAAUAGACUUUUAAGACUGCCGAA
Molecule: RNA transcript, 3367 nt
Organism: Gallus gallus (chicken)
Lineage: Eukaryota; Metazoa; Chordata; Aves; Galliformes; Phasianidae
Gene: CD40
Gene name: CD40 molecule
Exons: 10
Source: RefSeq, marked validated